Molecule: ribosomal RNA, 480 nt
Filed under: uncultured bacterium
Lineage: Bacteria
Description: partial 16S ribosomal RNA
Rfam family: Bacterial small subunit ribosomal RNA
Source: RNAcentral
GACGAACGCUAGCGGCAGGCCUAACACAUGCAAGUCGAGGGGUAGAAGGAGCUUGCUCCUUUGAGCCCGGCGCACGGGUGCGUAACGCGAAUGCAAGCUACCUUGUACAGGGGAAUAGCCCUGAGCAAUUUGGAUUAAUUCUCAAUAGUAUAUCACCUUCGCAUGUUGGUUAUUUUAAAGUUCCAACGGUACAAUAUGAGCAUGCGUCCCAUUAGUUAGUUGGUAAGGUAACGGCUUACCAAGACGAUGAUGGGUAGGGGUCCUGAGAGGGAGAGCCCCCACAGUGGGACUGGGACACGGGCCAGAGUGCUACGGGAGGCAGCAGUAAGGGAUAUUGGUCAAUGGUCGAAAGACUGAACCAGCCAUGCCGCGUGCAGGAAGACGGUCCUAUGGAUUGUAAACUGCUUUUAUACAGGCUGAAUCCCUCCGACGUGUGGGAGCUUGACGGUACUGGAGGAAUAAGGAUCGGCUAACUCCGUG